RNAcentral lists this ribosomal RNA (253 nucleotides) under uncultured bacterium. RNAcentral describes it as "partial 16S ribosomal RNA". It matches the Rfam family "Bacterial small subunit ribosomal RNA", at positions 524 to 776 of the family's 1533-position model. The record is from RNAcentral.
GACAGAGGGGGCAAGCGUUGCUCGGAAUUACUGGGCGUACAGGGCGCGUAGGCGGUUGGAUAAGCCCUCCGUGAAAUCUCCAGGCUUAACCUGGAAAGUGCAGAGGGGACUGUUCAGCUAGAGGAUGGGAGAGGAGCGCGGAAUUCCCGGUGUAGCGGUGAAAUGCGUAGAGAUCGGGAGGAAGGCCGGUGGCGAAGGCGGCGCUCUGGAACAUUUCUGACGCUGAGGCUCGAAAGCGUGGGGAGCAAACAGG